ACACACGGAUAACAUACCGAAAGGUAUGCUAAUACGGGAUAAUAUAUUUGAGAGGCAUCUCUUAAAUAUCAAAGGUGAGCCAGUACAGGAUGGACCCGCGUCUGAUUAGCUAGUUGGUAAGGUAACGGCUUACCAAGGCGACGAUCAGUAGCCGACCUGAGAGGGUGAUCGGCCACAUUGGAACUGAGACACGGUCCAAACUCCUACGGGAGGCAGCAGUGGGGAAUAUUGCACAAUGGGCGAAAGCCUGAUGCAGCAACGCCGCGUGAGUGAUGAAGGCCUUCGGGUCGUAAAACUCUGUCCUCAAGGAAGAUAAUGACGGUACUUGAGGAGGAAGCCCCGGCUAACUACGUGCCAGCAGCCGCGGUAAUACGUAGGGGGCUAGCGUUAUCCGGAUUUACUGGGCGUAAAGGGUGCGUAGGCGGUCUUUCAAGUCAGGAGUGAAAGGCUACGGCUCAACCGUAGUAAGCUCUUGAAACUGGGAGACUUGAGUGCAGGAGAGGAGAGUGGAAUUCCUAGUGUAGCGGUGAAAUGCGUAGAUAUUAGGAGGAACACCAGUUGCGAAGGCGGCUCUCUGGACUGUAACUGACGCUGAGGCACGAAAGCGUGGGGAGCAAACAGGAUUAGAUACCCUGGUAGUCCACGCUGUAAACGAUGAGUACUAGGUGUCGGGGGUUACCCCCUUCGGUGCCGCAGCUA
This 699-nucleotide ribosomal RNA is filed under the name uncultured bacterium. RNAcentral describes it as "bacterial SSU rRNA". It matches the Rfam family "Bacterial small subunit ribosomal RNA", at positions 135 to 854 of the family's 1533-position model. The record is from RNAcentral.